Papaver somniferum (opium poppy) is the source of this 4535-nucleotide long non-coding RNA. RefSeq lists it as uncharacterized. The record is from RefSeq and is a predicted model, not a curated record. NCBI's taxonomy places the organism in Eukaryota, Viridiplantae, Streptophyta, Magnoliopsida, Ranunculales, Papaveraceae. The transcript has 7 exons.
UUAGCAUGCAGAUAAUUAAGCUCGAUGGAUAAAAUAGACCUCAACAUAAGCAUCGUUCAAACAUUGAGCAGUGUUUAAAUCACUUUCUAAUGGUAGGAAUAGUUUAAAGCACAUUGUUUCAUUGUAUAGAAUGUUCUCUCUCCUUUUCCGACUUUUUUCAGAAUUUUUUCUUGCAUGUCGCAUCUUCCCAAGAACCUAAACUUCUAACCGCGUCAAUCCUUAUAAUUGAUACGGUUAGGAUUAUGCAAACUGAACUUCUCUGUUGUCUAAAGAUGGAUAUUUGAGUCAUUCUUCUUAGAGCCAGGACUUAUUGGAUCAAAGAGGAAAGCAGAAAAAGUUCAAAGUUUCUAGAGAUUCAAAGUUUCUUCCGGAAAAAUCAAUGAAUUGGGUUUAUAAUUCUACUUUGGAGGUAGUUUCCUGCUUGUCUCUCAAACCUAAGAAAUUGACUCAAAGAUUUCAUCUAGAAGUCCUUAUAGGAAUGUUACUAACUCACAAGGGUGCUUUAUGAAAAUAUCAAGAAUCGAGCUAUCUAAAGAUUAUUGAUUUAUAUUUUUCUUUAUUUCGUGUGGUAAUUCAGGAUCCAUUUGGAAAUCUUUACGAUCCUCGAUUAUUUCAUUUUCUGAAGCUAAGCGUCUGUUUAUGUUUAACCAGAUUAUUUUCCUGUUUUGAAUAUUCAGUUUGGCUACUUAUAGGUUCUAAAUAUAAUGAUAUUGCUUGUGAAAUUCAGAACAUUCUUUCGACGAGGAACAAGAUUGGUUAAUGGUAAUUCUAAAAAAUUUAACUGGUCUAGUAAUCUUGAAUAUACGAUGUAUUAAUUUGAAAUUAUAUUUCUUCUUGGCCAAGUCAAAGAGGAUUUUUUGGUCAGUUUCACGAGGAGCGGAAAUUUAAGAUUGGAAUUAUGAGGCUUCCGAAGAAACCUGCGCGUAAAGAUCCGAGGCAUAGAUCCUCGACUGAUCCUCCUCCGCGUGUGGAUCAUCUUGACGCUACGCCUUCCCCUCCUCCUGAGGCUACUGAGGAUAUUGAGGUGCCUGAGGCAGCUGAGCAUACUGAGUUACCUGAGAUAGACCUUCACCUUUGCCACAUUAUGAAUUACAUAGAUUGCAACUUCUCUACAAGGACAGCUAUUCUGGAUGGUCCCUUGCUGAAAUCUCCAAGUCUUUUCGCCUGCAUAAGUUUGAAAUUCCUUUGUUGAUGGUCCUGACGUUCUCACUGAGUCUCUGAUUCGGAGCAUUCCUUAUGAUGAGAACAACCUAUUGAUCAGCGUUGACCAGUUGGCUGAAGGUAUGCUCGUACCUUUGUAUAAUAGAAAGGAUCCCUUCUACUACGAUGUAAAGUCCACCAGGGAUGACCCUGUGAACAAGACUCAGGUCCGAGGGGUGACGUAGUAUACCGGUAACUACUGUCGUGCCCUUCGUGAAAGUUGGUACCGUAGCAAGGGUAAGACUACUCUGAAAUCUUAUGAGUCUAUGACCCCUUUUCUCCUGAGAGGUAUAAGCAGGAGGAUUACACCCCUUCCAAGUUCAAUGCCACGUAUGCUGAUGCCCAUUCAGAAAAGCAAUCUUCUUCCUUAGUGUGUUGGUCCACGCCGCAUUCACGUUUCUGCCAAGCAGAUUAGGGAAGGCAAUAGCCUUCAUUUAUUGGAGGAGAUUGACAAGACUGGGUUGACGGUUAUCCCUUACUUGGCUAGGAUUUUCUUGCCGAAGUCUGAUCGUAUUCGUCUUGAUCAUGAUAAUCGUUUGGAACGUACUCCUCUUCGUGUCGUUGGUCCUUGGGCCUACGGAUUUACUACCGCAAAUCCCAACGUUCCUCGUACAGCUUCGUCCCUGCCUUCUAAAUAUGAUGGCUACCAGCCUUGGGUUUUUAACCCUGCCGAUUAUGAUGAGCCUGCCCCCGCUUCUUCUGCUGGUAACUCCGUAGCUACUCGGACAAGGAAAAUGAGGGCUUCUAUUGGAGCAACUAAGUCAACACCUGCGUAGUCUUCCAAGAAGAAAGGAAAGUUGAAAGCCGUGAUCGAUGUUCAAGAAUCUGAUGAGGAUCCCAAGGUUGUUGAAGAGGAACCUGAUGAUGAGGACAUGGAUGAUACUUCCCUUAGUCCUAAUUUAGAGGAUAUUGAGGAAGAUUUUUCAAAAGAAGGUCCUAGUCCCAUUCGUGGUGGUUCUGUUGAAGGCGAUAAUCUUCAGGUUGGCGGUGGCUCUUUGCUAAUGAGCCAAGCGAGUUCUCACAUGGCUGUGAUCCCUACUCCUUUGUUGAGGUGCCUGCAUUUUCUUCCCCGAGUGAUAUGCAACUUGUUGCUUCGGAUGUCACUAGUGCUAUGGUGUUGUCUUCUAAGGGACCUCUGUCCUCUCCUGCUACUUCGCGUCAUUGAAGCGGUUCGUUCGCGAAGGGUGUUGUUCCUGUAGUAAGGGUCAGCAGUUCGGAUUCUCGGCCGAAGAAGAAGUUUGUGAUUUAUCUUGGUAGAUUCUUCUUCAAUGUUAUGCCCGCUCCAUUGGGAAGUGGUCAGUCUGCUUCUACUUCCCUCGUUAGCAAGGUUGUUAGGCCACCUCCUUCGUCACCUGAUUGGAAUGUCAUGGGUAUCCUUCCUUCUGCCGGUGACAUGGAUUUGGUUGGUUCUUCUAGACAGGUACUUGAUUUUUUCCCUAGAUCUUCCACCAUGCCAUCCCUUCGUCGUGGUGAGGAUCAAGUAUUGAUACCUCAUGCUCGCUAUCAAGCGACUAGUGGGGUUUUUACUGAUCUUGGGAAAGGUAAGUUACCUAAGAAUUUGAGCCUUGGGAGCUCUGAUGAUGCCAUCCUUGAAUCCAUAUUACGGGAUGCUAAGGGUCCCUUUUCUGCUGAGGUUGAUCGUCAUCAGUUGAGUGAUUCUCGGGAGAUUGAUUCAAAAUUGGAUACUCUGAAGGCUCAGUAUCGAGUGGCUAAGGACCUAUUCAUUGAUCCAGACUGACUUUGUUCUAGCCAGAGCUUUGGUGAAAUCCACAGGGUUAGCAUCCAAGAUAUGGAGACUUUCAUGGAUACAUAUGCUGACUUUCUUCCUCUCAUUUCCUUGUUCUCGCUUCGCAAGCAAAUCGAUGUUGGAUGUACUUUUUUCAAGUUCUAUAGGGAUAAGUGUACUCACUUGAGUGCUCUUUUGGAGCGUGCUCGCCAAGAUUAUGCCUUCGUUAGUGCGCAACAGUCUUCUUCAGGUGAUGCUGCUUCUUCUGCUAAGGUACCUUUGUUGAAGAGUGAGUUGAGAAAGACUCAAAGGUCCUUAGAAGCUUGUUUUAUGGCUCUUAAAAAAGCCAAUGAUGCUACAAAGGUUGCUGAGGAGGGACGCAAAGCGGUUGACUUUGCUUUGGCUUCUGAAUCCUCCAAAGUUAUAGGUUCGUUCUUUCUCCCUUUUAGCUUCAUUUUUAUUUUUGUCUGGUAGCAUGGUACUGAGAGUACCUACGCCUGCCAGUUGGUAGCUCCGGUGAGCUUAGACACCUUUGGGAGCAAGUGGCCAAGUUGACCUCCCAUGUUUGGUAUUAUCAGAAGAAGUCUGAUAGGUUAAUGAACAUGACUGUUCAUAAUGAGGCACAAAUCUCCCUUGAGGCUUCUCAUAACUCAGACCUUGUGAAGAAGAUGGCUCUCCUUCGUGAAGAGUGUGACGAAACCCUUAAGUAGAAAGAGGAUCUCAUAUUAAAGAAAAAGGAGGAUAUUGCCUUAGUUGAAAAACGUCUCUCAGCUCAAGAGAUUAUCCGAAAAAGCAUCAUGCAGACUUUGAAGAUGUCUGCACUUCCUUAGCUAAAGUUACCACCAAACGUAACGUAUUAUCUUCUGAGGUUCGUUCCCUUAAGGAUAAGAUUAGUGAGGAUUCUUCAGUGUCCCCUUCCGCAUCCCAUGCAUAUAUGGUCAAAAGGUUGGCAGAGUUAGAGGAUGUUUACCGAGUUUUAUCCUCCGAGAAUACUUCGCUCCGGAUAAAUGUUGAAGAUCUCCAGACCGAACGUGAUACUUUGGCUGAGGAUCUUAAUGCUACCGAGGACGAUCUUGCCGAAGAUGAGCGUAGUUUGGAAGAUUCCCUUAGCCACGCUGGAGGUCUUCAGGAACAACUCAUAGGUGUGAACGCCAAGGUCAGUCACCUUCAAAGCUAAGUAUCUUCAUUGGAGAUAGCCCGUCAGUUUGAUGCUGCUUCAAAGUUCAAUGCUGAGACACUUCAGCAAGCCAAUGACCACCUAAGUGCUCAGAUGAUGGAGCUCCUUCAUAAAUCAGCUUAUGAUUUGGAGGCUCAGGCUUCGCGGAUGAAAUUGGAAUAUGAGCAUUCAGAUAUUGAUUAUAUAAAUAAGGCCUUUGUUGAAGCUGAACGCUAAGCUGAUGGAGUUGUCUUUGAUCGUCUCCCUUACCCUUGAUUCUAUCGUUUGUACUUUGUUUAAGUAAACUUCUUUUUGUUGUUUAUGUCCUCAGCUGAGGUAUCUUCUUUCGCUGAGAUGUCUCCGUUCUUUGAAACAAUGUCUUAUGGUUGCUUGAACCUUCAUGUUAUCUUCCAUGCAACUUUUUAAAGAAAUGUGAGACAUAUUUUGGUAAAA